UCGCUACGUAGCGACCGAGCGGGACGAUCGCUCUUGAACUUCUCCCAUGCUUCACUUAAGCUCUCUAGAUUCUUCUGUUGAAACCAUGAUAUUUCAUUCCUGAUCUU
Non-coding RNA from Brassica napus (rape), 107 nucleotides. The record is from Rfam. Lineage: Eukaryota; Viridiplantae; Streptophyta; Magnoliopsida; Brassicales; Brassicaceae.